CUUGCUUCUCUUGAGAGCGGCGGACGGGUGAGUAAUGCCUAGGAAUCUGCCUGGUAGUGGGGGAUAACGUCCGGAAACGGACGCUAAUACCGCAUACGUCCUACGGGAGAAAGCAGGGGACCUUCGGGCCUUGCGCUAUCAGAUGAGCCUAGGUCGGAUUAGCUAGUUGGUGGGGUAAUGGCUCACCAAGGCGACGAUCCGUAACUGGUCUGAGAGGAUGAUCAGUCACACUGGAACUGAGACACGGUCCAGACUCCUACGGGAGGCAGCAGUGGGGAAUAUUGGACAAUGGGCGAAAGCCUGAUCCAGCCAUGCCGCGUGUGUGAAGAAGGUCUUCGGAUUGUAAAGCACUUUAAGUUGGGAGGAAGGGCAGUAAAUUAAUACUUUGCUGUUUUGACGUUACCGACAGAAUAAGCACCGGCUAACUCUGUGCCAGCAGCCGCGGUAAUACAGAGGGUGCAAGCGUUAAUCGGAAUUACUGGGCGUAAAGCGCGCGUAGGUGGUUCGUUAAGUUGGAUGUGAAAUCCCCGGGCUCAACCUGGGAACUGCAUUCAAAACUGACGAGCUAGAGUAUGGUAGAGGGUGGUGGAAUUUCCUGUGUAGCGGUGAAAUGCGUAGAUAUA
RNAcentral lists this ribosomal RNA (623 nucleotides) under uncultured bacterium. RNAcentral describes it as "bacterial SSU rRNA". It matches the Rfam family "Bacterial small subunit ribosomal RNA", at positions 79 to 698 of the family's 1533-position model. The record is from RNAcentral.